GAGUCGCUAGCUCAGUUGGUAGAGCAACGGCCUUUUAAGCCGUGGGUCGUGGGUUCGAGCCCCACGCGACUCA
Molecule: transfer RNA, 73 nt
Filed under: Bombilactobacillus mellis
Lineage: Bacteria; Bacillati; Bacillota; Bacilli; Lactobacillales; Lactobacillaceae
Description: Lactobacillus mellis tRNA
Rfam family: tRNA
About the family: Transfer RNA (tRNA) molecules are approximately 80 nucleotides in length. Their secondary structure includes four short double-helical elements and three loops (D, anti-codon, and T loops).
Source: Rfam by way of RNAcentral